RNAcentral lists this ribosomal RNA (502 nucleotides) under uncultured bacterium. Its description in RNAcentral is "bacterial SSU rRNA". It matches the Rfam family "Bacterial small subunit ribosomal RNA", at positions 28 to 526 of the family's 1533-position model. The record is from RNAcentral.
GACGAACGCUGGCGGCGUGCCUAAUACAUGCAAGUUGAACGCUAAAGCUUUAACUGGUGCUUGCACCGACUUAAGUUUUUAGAGUAGCGGACGGGUGAGUAACACGUGGGUAACCUGCCCAUCAGAGGGGGAUAACACUUGGAAACAGGUGCUAAUACCGCAUAAUUCCUUUUACCGCAUGGUAAAAGGCUGAAAGGCGCUUCUGGUGUCACUGAUGGAUGGACCCGCGGUGCAUUAGCUAGUCGGUGGGGUAACGGCCUACCGAGGCGAUGAUGCAUAGCCGACCUGAGAGGGUGAUCGGCCACAUUGGGACUGAGACACGGCCCAAACUCCUACGGGAGGCAGCAGUAGGGAAUAUUGGACAAUGGGCGAAAGCCUGAUCCAGCAAUACCGCGUGAGUGAUGAAGGUCUUAGGAUUGUAAAGCUCUUUUAAUAGGGAAGAUAAUGACGUUACCUAUAGAAAAAGCCCCGGCUAACUUCGUGCCAGCAGCCGCAGUAACAC